Molecule: transfer RNA, 56 nt
Filed under: Strongyloides stercoralis
Lineage: Eukaryota; Metazoa; Nematoda; Chromadorea; Rhabditida; Strongyloididae
Description: tRNA-Arg
Source: RNAcentral
AGGUAUCUAGUAGGAAUUUUCUAUAUCCAAUUGCGGUUUGGAAGUUUUUUUACCUU